UACGUAGGGACCAAGCGUUGUUCGGAUUUACUGGGCGUAAAGGGCGCGUAGGCGGCGUGUUAAGUCAGCUGUGAAAUCUCCAAGCUUAACUUGGAACGGUCAGCUGAUACUGAUGUGCUAGAGUGCAGAAGGGGCAACCGGAAUUCUUGGUGUAGCGGUGAAAUUCGUAGAUAUUCGGAAGAACACCAGUGGCGAAGGCGGCUCACUGGACCGGCAUUGACGCUGAGGUGCGAAAGCGUGGGGAGCAAACAGG
RNAcentral lists this ribosomal RNA (253 nucleotides) under uncultured bacterium. RNAcentral describes it as "partial 16S ribosomal RNA". It matches the Rfam family "Bacterial small subunit ribosomal RNA", at positions 524 to 776 of the family's 1533-position model. The record is from RNAcentral.